Rhododendron vialii is the source of this 1670-nucleotide RNA transcript. It is a transcript of the gene named GLABRA2 expression modulator-like, with no coding region annotated. The record is from RefSeq and is a predicted model, not a curated record. Lineage: Eukaryota; Viridiplantae; Streptophyta; Magnoliopsida; Ericales; Ericaceae. The transcript has 5 exons.
AAAUACUAUGAAUACAUGUAGAAAUUUGUUGCGCAUUUUUAUUGAAAAACUAGUUAAAGGUGCCCAGCCCGGACUCGUGUGUAACCAAAUUUGUACUACUCCAUCCCAUUGGGGGUAGAAAUCCCACGCACAACCCCACGCGCCGCCGGACUUUUCCCGUGGCAUGGCCAAUCGUUUCCUUCUAUUUUGAAACUCUCCUCUCCUCUCUCAUAAUCCAACCGUUGAGAUCCGGGUCGUAUUGGAGACCAUGGAGCAACCUAGCGGCGACGCGAAGAAGCAGGAAGCGGGUCAGAGCUCGGUUCACGAUCCGAACCCUGCCCCGGAUCCGAAUGUCGAGGGCGGCACAGAUUCCACUCGAGCCAAGGACGAGUUGGAGAAAUCAGAGACCCUCAUGCAACAGCCGGUUCAUCAUAAUAUUACGGGGGAUCAUAAUGUAGCCAGUAACGUUCACGAAAACGGCAGUCUUGAUAACGAGAAACCGACGUUGGACGAAACUCGGUCGAAGAAAUCGGUGAGUUGGAGUCAGGAAUUGGUGAUGGAGUCGACGUUUUCUCCUUCUCCUGGGCCCUCCUCCCGCUCAGCCUCCUUCAAGGAUUCGCUGAGUAAUGCUCGAGAUGUGCUAGGGAGAUGGGGAAAGAAGGUUGGAGAAGCUACGAGGAAGGCUGAGGAUCUCGCUGGAAACACUUGGCAACACUUAAAAACGGCCCCUAGUUUUGCUGAUGCUGCUGUUGGUAGAAUUGCUCAAGGAACAAAGAUCCUAGCAGAAGGUGGUUACGAGAAGAUUUUCAGGCAAACUUUUGAGACUGUUCCUGAGGAGCAACUUCAAAAUUCAUAUGCCUGUUAUUUGUCCACAUCAGCUGGUCCAGUGAUGGGUACUGUGUAUGUAUCUACAGCUAAGAUUGCAUUUUGCAGUGAUGCUCCACUGUCAUAUAAAACUGAGGACAAGACCGAGUGGAGCUAUUAUAAGGUAGUCAUCCCGUUACACCAGCUUAAAGCAGUCAAUCCUUCAUCAAGCAGAGCUAAUUCUGCUGAAAAGUACAUCCAGGUUAUUUCAGUGGAUAACCACGAAUUUUGGUACAUGGGAUUUCUGAACUAUGAUAGCGCAGUGAAGUGCCUACAGGAUGUUCUGCAAGUACACUACUCUCCUGUCUGAUAAUGGUACGCUUUUUUUGGUACCAUCACUUUUUAUAGUUUUCUAAAAGUCUCAAGGAUAAUAGAUGGAAGAUAGGAUGUCUAAUUUGAGGCCUUGUUGACUUUUGGGACCAGGCUCGGAUAAUUCUCUUUCGUUCCUUUCCUUUUGGUGUUGAUAGAGCCGGUGCAAGCGAAGAGCAAGAUGAUAGAUCCCAUCCUUGAUCUCUGCCUCUAAAUCUCUUUCCACAUCCAUCUCCAGCUCACCGCGGAUCUUCAAUUCCUCAAUGGACAUGACUACACGCUGCAAGGCUUCAGUUUCACUAUGACCACUAUCUAUACAAGAAAGGUAGUGCUAUACAAAUAGAACAUUCAUUUACUAGGAUCUAAACAAGCAUCAAUGUGGUUCAAAAUUGCAUCAAUGUUACUGCAACGUCACUUUGUAGUGUUUUUAUGCAUGGGAGUUUCUUAUGAAUGGCAUUGUUCAAGACAAAUGGAAGAAAGAGAAGAAAAAAGAAACAAGUAUUACCGUCUCGAUCAAA